GUCUACUCAGCAGUGAAGACAGACAGACAGAGAUACAGGUAGAGCUGUAUCUGGACCCAGGGACGUAAUGUACAGACUGAGUGACCCUGUUCAUCAGAACGUCAUGGUGGGUGGAAAAAGAUGCUCUCUUCAGCUGCGGUGAAUAACCACAACCCUGUCAGUCCAUCUCUUUACUUCUCUUUUCACUUCUCUUCUCUCUCCCUCCUUCCCUUUUCACACCAACGCACUUAUCUUUAGACGCUUCAGCCUUGACCGCCAUAAACAGCCUCAGCAACAAAGAGGUGUGACAUUUCCAAAACUGAGUUGACAGAGUCAACAACAAGAGUAAGUUUAUCAUGAGGACAUACAGACACCACUGACUGGAACUAUCAACAACAAGAGUUAGUUUAUCAUGAGAACAUACAGACACCAUUGACUGGAACUAUCAACAACAAGAGUUAGUUUAUCAUGAGAACCUAGAACCAGCUGACAGUAUCAGUAUUACUACUAACAGAAGGAACGUUGUAGUGUUAUGUCCAUGAUGAAUGUUGUAACGGCUUCAAUGUGUUUUAUAUUCUAAUUGUUUAUGUAAAAUUGGAAAUUGUAUUUUUUUAUUUUGUGUGUUUAGCUUGAGCAACACCAGUGAAUGGGUGCCAACUUGCCAAAUAAAGCUUCCUCGACCUAGUG
Coregonus clupeaformis (lake whitefish) is the source of this 666-nucleotide long non-coding RNA. RefSeq lists it as uncharacterized. The record is from RefSeq and is a predicted model, not a curated record. Lineage: Eukaryota; Metazoa; Chordata; Actinopteri; Salmoniformes; Salmonidae. The transcript has 3 exons.